Molecule: long non-coding RNA, 2669 nt
Organism: Oncorhynchus gorbuscha (pink salmon)
Lineage: Eukaryota; Metazoa; Chordata; Actinopteri; Salmoniformes; Salmonidae
Exons: 3
Source: RefSeq, a predicted model, not a curated record
UCCCCUUGAAUUGUUAAACUAAAUGAAUUCCACACCCCCCAAGACCGCCCCCAAUGCACCAACAACCAACAAAAUGAACAAAAGAGAGACAAAGGGAAAACAGAAAACAACAAUGCAAAAAACAAGACAUCAAGGAUAACAAAAAUCAUAACAGCCUUCCCUCCCCCAGGGUUAUCGGUGGCCAGCCAGCGUAUACGGUUUUGACCCCUGCCUGACUCUGGACUACAUUCCACCCGCCUGAUCAUCCUGCCGGCCCUGACCUUGAUUCUGCCUGCCCUACCUUUUGGACUCUGAACUGGUUUUGACCGUUUUGCCUGUCCACAACAGGCAAGGUGUUGAUGAUUAGAUUUCACUUUCACCAUAGCUUGUGCACGUCGUGAUAGUCUUUGAAGCAGUCCCUCUCUGCCAGGAAACAAAAAGAAAACUGGCAUUUCACAAUUUCUGUACCCCUGUGUUUUGUGCAAUGCUUGUAGUUCUUUCUUUGGCAUUUGGCAUGUGUGUUGGAUAGUGGAGCUCACCUUGAUUGGGGGGUAUUGUGAUGUUUGUAAGGUUGCUUUGGGCCCCCAAUUCAGCCAUUACCAAUACCAGCUGCUCUAGGAAGGCCAACUGGGAGAGAGGGGUUUGACCUUUUGCUUUGGCCAUCUGCUUGUGGAGAUUUAUUUAACUAGCCAAGCCAGUUAAGAACAAAUUCUUAUUUACAAUGAUGGCCUACACUGGCCAAACCCGGAUGACGCUUGGCCAAUUGUGCACUGCCCUAUGGGACUCCCAAUCCCGGCUGGUUGUGAUACAGCCUGGAUUUAAACCAGGGUGUCUGUAGUGAUGCCUCUAGCACUGAGAUGAAGUGCCUUAGAAUGCUGUGCCACUCAGGAGCCCUACUGAAUUUACUGUAGCAAUGUCCACAAAGUGGUAAAAAAAAGUAUUAUACCACUUUCUGGUCUUGUGGAGGACCUGGUAGUAGCCUAUCAGAGUAUCAGAAAGUUUGACACUGCCCAAGCUGGCAUUGUAGUCCUUCAUAGAAACAGGAAUGGGGACAUUCUUCUUCACCCAUGCCCCAUUGGCAUUUUACACCCUCCUUGAGACAUGGUUGUUAUUGAAUGCCUUAUGCUGUGUGGUGAGCAUGGUUAUAUUCCCUAGUGUCCUUCCAUGUCACAAAAAGCAGCUUGUCAGUCUUGAUCCAACGUAUGGUCCCCCUCUCCGAUGUCUUUGUCAUGUCGUUUACCUUGGUCCUGGGGAAACCGGUUCUGUUAGGACGAAUGGUGCCACAAGCCCCUAUUUUCUUUUUUCAAGAGGUAUAUGAAAAGCAUGGGAGGAGUAUAAAAAUUAUCCACAAAGAGCUUGUACCCACUUCCAAGUAAGGACAAGUCUAUCAGCUGCAUGACAGAGAUAACUAAGGCCCAUACCUGUGGGUGUGGUAGAUUGAUUUUAAGCAGGCUGGUAGUACGUUUUGCAUGCCUCCACCAUGUCAUGAUAAAGGGGAUUGACACUUGCAAGACGAUCAUACCCUGCAGUCCCCUUCUUCUUGGUCAUUCUCCUGAUCCUUUUGUGGGUCACUCAUGUGAAGAGUACGGUUGAUGGCCAAUAAUCGGUUUUCACUCAUGAUGGAGGUGGGGAACUGGCACCGGUAGAGUGGGGACUCUAGUUGUCAACUACUCUUGAUACCUUUACCAGUCCCAUGUAAAUCACCAAGGAAAUGUAGUUGAGCAUGUCACCCAUGAUGACAGGUUUCCAGGACAUCUUCCUUCCCCCCUGAUGCUUCUUGUCCCCAUACUUGUUGGUAUUACUCAUUUGUGUUCCUAGUACAGAGGUGGUAAAGUAGAGCUCAAACAGCUGUAAGGGGGUGUAUGUUUCAUCACUAACCAACUGGACCUUCAGGUCCUUUGGGUUUAAACCUAAAUUGUUAUGGCUCCUCAUCAUCUUCAAGGACCGUAUUCCACCUGUCCUCAGUUUUAUCUCCCUCUGUUGUGCUGCUUCCACUGCCUCUCCCUCUUCUCUGUUGAGGCAUAGAUCUCCUCCCUGCCCCCGCACCUCCAGAUGAUCUUGCAGAGAGGGGAGUGGUGCCAAGGCCUGCAGUGGGGUGGUUGAAGAGGAGUGGGGUCUUUGUCGAGUGGUGGAUGUAGAGCCAUCAGAUGGGAUGAUUGACAUAGCAGUGGGGGGUGAAGAUCUUGACUGGAAGGGGAGCUUGCUGGGGAGGGGUGGCUCCCAAACGUCAUCAUCCAAAUCCUCUGCAUCCUCCACUCUCUGGUGACUAAAAUAAAGGGAUAUAUUGUUGUAAGACACCCAGAAUUACAGUUGACUAAAUUUACUAAACAACAUAACUGUAAAGUAAGAACACCAAGCCUAAACUUUAUCUGUACAGUGACUCACAUAGAAGGUGUGAAGCACACACACAAUGCGAAGAGUAACACUUUGGAGAGAAAGGUGGAGGUGACAACCACAAAAAAACAAUGGCCAUGAGAGUUUAGUGGCCUCUCCAAUGAUGAAACGUAGAUCAGCAAACAGUGAACUAUUAUGAACCAGAUAAUAAGUUGACAUCCAUUGAUGGAAGAUUAUCUGCCGUUUUUUAAUAAGGGCAAAUUAUCUCUUUUUUUAAUAAUGUAUAUUAUAAUUGAUUUUUUGUUGCCCUUUUUCUCCCCAGUUUCGUGAUAUCCAAUUGGUAGUUACAGUCUUGU